AUGUAUAAAUGGCUUGAAAGCCCCCUCAGCGGGUGCCAUUAUAGAUUGAUUUGGAAAGCGAAAAUUCCCCUCAAAAUCAAAAUUUUUAUGUGGCAGCUGGCUCAAGAUGUUGUUCUUACUAGACAAGUCAUGAAAUGAAAGCGCUGGCUAGGAAACCCUUGUUGUUCGUUCUGUAAUGAGCUUGAAUCUUCACAACACUUGUUCUUUACCUGCCAUGUCGCUAGGGUUGUAUGGCGAUGUGUGGGGGUGGUUCUGGGCAGGGACAGUUGUCCUAAUAACUGUGGCAAUACUAUGCUUGGUGUUACUCCUUCCUCCCUGCUGGAGUGA
RNAcentral lists this ribosomal RNA (327 nucleotides) under Triticum aestivum (bread wheat). Its description in RNAcentral is "partial small subunit ribosomal RNA". The record is from RNAcentral. Lineage: Eukaryota; Viridiplantae; Streptophyta; Magnoliopsida; Poales; Poaceae.